AUCACCUGUAUAUCUUGUCAAAAUGCAUAUUCUAAUUCAGUUGAUUUAGGGUUAGGCCUAAGAUUCUGCAUUUCUCACAAGCUUCCAGGUGAUGCUGG
RNAcentral lists this microRNA precursor (98 nucleotides) under Pteropus alecto (black flying fox). RNAcentral describes it as "mir-544 microRNA precursor family". It matches the Rfam family "mir-544 microRNA precursor family". The record is from Rfam by way of RNAcentral. RNAcentral also lists the same sequence under 1 other name. Lineage: Eukaryota; Metazoa; Chordata; Mammalia; Chiroptera; Pteropodidae.